CGGGGGGAGCAAGCGUUGUUCGGAUUUACUGGGCGUAAAGGGCGCGUAGGCGGCCACCGCAAGUCGACUGUGAAAUCUCCGGGCUUAACCCGGAAAGGUCAGCCGAUACUGCGGGGCUAGAGUGCAGAAGGGGCAACUGGAAUUCUCGGUGUAGCGGUGAAAUGCGUAGAUAUCGAGAGGAACACCUGCGGCGAAGGCGGGUUGCUGGGCUGACACCGACGCUGAGGCGCGAAAGCUAGGGGGAGCGAACGGGAUUAGAUACCCCGGUAGUCCUAGCCUUAAACGAUGAAUGCUUGGUUGUCUGGGGUUUUAUAGUCCCCGGGUGCCGUCGCUAACGCUUUAAGCAUUCCGCCUGGGGAGUACGGUCGCAAGACUG
This 376-nucleotide ribosomal RNA is filed under the name uncultured organism. RNAcentral describes it as "bacterial SSU rRNA". It matches the Rfam family "Bacterial small subunit ribosomal RNA", at positions 526 to 896 of the family's 1533-position model. The record is from RNAcentral.